This 1167-nucleotide ribosomal RNA is filed under the name Triticum aestivum (bread wheat). Its description in RNAcentral is "partial small subunit ribosomal RNA". Lineage: Eukaryota; Viridiplantae; Streptophyta; Magnoliopsida; Poales; Poaceae. The record is from RNAcentral.
AUGUCGAUGGGCGCUGUCCUGUCCGCCGUGCGCGCCGCCGGCAGGCAGCAGCUCUCCGCUUCAAUCGUCGCCGCGAGGCAGGUGUCCGCCUCCCACGUGCUCCGGAUCGACGGGUACUCGCGAAUCAGCAAGAUACUGGCCACCGGGCAGGCGACGAGGUCAGGCACGUUCAGCGUCGGCGGCCACGACUGGCAUAUUUUGCACUAUCCAAACGGCUGCUUCGAGCAGCACAAGGGCUCCCUCUCCUUCUUCCUGGAGCAUGCCAGCCACGCAAAGACCGGGGAUACCACGGCAAAGGUGGAGCUGAGCAUACUCGACCACGCCUCCAAGCCAUCGCACACACAAACCAAGGCAGAUUACCGCUUCUCCAACGCCACUUCCCUCAACUGGGGCUGGAGAGACUUCAUCAAACACGAGGAUCUGGACGUGGAGAAGCAUCUCAAGGACGAUUGCCUGACCAUCCUCUGCGACGUCACCGUCACCGUGCUGGACACCGAAGACCACUCCGAGGCUGCCGCACCGGAGCCUACUGUCGUGGAGCCUCCGUUCGGCAUGCGCGGGCAACUCGCGGAAUUCAUCUGGAACAAGAAGGAAGUGGACGUGCACAUCGAGGUCGGCGGUGAGACGCUCCCCGCGCACCGGCGGAUACUCGAGGCCGCAUCACCCGUCUUCAAGGCGCACCUCUCGCUCGCCUCGGCAACCACCGGCCGCGGCGGCGGCUGCAACAGCAACACCGCCUUACUACGCGUCGACGACAUGGACGCCGAGGUGUUCAAGGCCCUGCUCCAGUUUAUAUACUUGGACUCGCCUCCCCGGCCCCUGGAGAAGACGAUGGCAGAGAGGCUGCUCGUCGCGGCGGACAGAUAUGAGCUGGAGAAGUUGAAGCUCAUAUGCGAGGCAGCAUUGUUGCAGCACGUCGAUCUGAGCUCCGUGGCUGCUGCUCUAGCGUUGGCCGAGCGGCAUCAUUGCUCCGUGCUGAGGACCGCAUGCGUGCAGUUCCUCUCUUCUCCCGGUAACCUGGAAGCAUUCAUGGCAUCGGGUGACUUCGCACAGCUAAAGACGGGUUGUCCCUCUGCUCUGUUGGAGCUCCUCGUGAAGAAGAUGAUGCGUCAAGAGAAAGGCAUGUCUACCAUGCACAGGAUAUCCCGUGCAUGUAGCAGCCAUUGA